UAAUACGGAGGAUCCAAGCGUUAUCCGGAUUUAUUGGGUUUAAAGGGUGCGUAGGCGGACUGUCAAGUCAGCGGUGAAAGUCCAUGGCUCAACCAUGGAAUUGCCGUUGAAACUGUCGGUCUUGAGUGUAGAUGAGGUAGGCGGAAUUCGUAGUGUAGCGGUGAAAUGCUUAGAUAUUACGAAGAACUCCAAUUGCGUAGGCAGCUUACCAGGCUACAACUGACGCUGAGGCACGAAGGUGCGGGGAUCAAACAGGAUUAGAUACCCUGGUAGUCCGCACAGUAAACGAUGAAUACUAGCUGUUGGCGAUAUACCGUCAGUGGCACAGCGAAAGCGUUAAGUAUUCCACCUGGGGAGUACGCCGGCAACGGUGAAACUCAAAGGAAUUGACGG
RNAcentral lists this ribosomal RNA (393 nucleotides) under bacterium enrichment culture. RNAcentral's name for it is "bacterial SSU rRNA". It matches the Rfam family "Bacterial small subunit ribosomal RNA", at positions 521 to 916 of the family's 1533-position model. The record is from RNAcentral.